GGUUGCUGUCUAAUUGACAUAUGCUAGUAUUUAUUAUUUAACAGAAAUAACAAACCUUAUAGUAAUUUUUUUGUAUUGAAUAAUUCAAUUAAUAAGUAAAUGUUUUGAUUAAAGUUAUUUCUACAAUUUCACAAAUUAAGUUAACCUAUACCAGCAACGACCAAAAAUUCCAGAUUGGGAUCAUUUGUUUUUCUUUUCUCUUCUUUCUUUUCUCGUGUAAUAAAAAUCCUUAAUCUGGACAAACAUUUUCGUCAUAAUGCUGUCGAACGUUUAUAACGUCGAUGUAUUUGCAGAAAAACGCACUUUAGCGUAUCAAACCAUCGUACUUUAGCGUAGGCCAUUGCACUUUAGCGUGACCAUCGCAUUUUAGCGUCCCCAUCGCACUUUAGAGUCCUACAUAUUUAU
RNAcentral lists this long non-coding RNA (405 nucleotides) under Mytilus galloprovincialis (Mediterranean mussel). The record is from RNAcentral. Lineage: Eukaryota; Metazoa; Mollusca; Bivalvia; Mytilida; Mytilidae.